RNAcentral lists this small RNA (311 nucleotides) under Jaculus jaculus (lesser Egyptian jerboa). RNAcentral describes it as "7SK RNA (ENSJJAG00000004301.1)". The record is from RNAcentral. Lineage: Eukaryota; Metazoa; Chordata; Mammalia; Rodentia; Dipodidae.
ACAAAAGAAAGAGGGUGUGCUGUUACCCCACUGACUACCUGGGCUGAUGUGCUGGACAUGGCUGGCUAGGAGGGUGUCCCCUUGUUCCUCACCAUUGCAUGUGGAUCUCUCCUGAAGCCUGGUCAAAAAGAACAACCUUUCCCCAGAGAGGACUACUCUUUCAUCACAUACACAAGUGCAUCCUUGCAGUCGGCUCCACACCACUGGGAUGGACCUCCAAACCAGACACAGUUUAUGGGAGGAAGGGAUUUAUUUGAAGCUUAUAGAUCCAGGGGACGUUCUACUGAUGGCAGAAGAAGCUGUCACCCCCU